CCCUUAGAUGUCCUGGGCCGCACGCGCGCUACACUGAUGCAUGCAACGAGUUUAUAACCUUGGCCUGAAAGGUCUGGGUAAUCUUUUGAACGAGCAUCGUGAUAGGGAUAGAUUAUUGCAAUUGUUAAUCUUGAACGAGGAAUUCCUAGUAAACGCGAGUCAUCAGCUCGCAUUGAUUACGUCCCUGCCCUUUGUACACACCGCCCGUCGCACCUACCGAUUGAAUGGUUCGGUGAAGAUCUCGGACUUCGAUAUUUAUUCUUUAUUGAGUUUAUAUUGUGGGAAGUUAUCUAAACCUCAUCAUUUAGAGGAAGGUGGAGUCGUAACA
Molecule: ribosomal RNA, 328 nt
Filed under: uncultured eukaryote
Lineage: Eukaryota
Description: partial 18S ribosomal RNA
Rfam family: Eukaryotic small subunit ribosomal RNA
Source: RNAcentral